This 466-nucleotide ribosomal RNA is filed under the name uncultured bacterium. Its description in RNAcentral is "partial 16S ribosomal RNA". It matches the Rfam family "Bacterial small subunit ribosomal RNA", at positions 28 to 507 of the family's 1533-position model. The record is from RNAcentral.
GAUGAACGCUGGCGGCGUGCUUAACACAUGCAAGUCGAACGGAAAGGCCCAAGCUUGCUUGGGUACUCGAGUGGCGAACGGGUGAGUAACACGUGGGUGAUCUGCCCUUCACUUCGGGAUAACCCUGGGAAACUGGGGCUAAUACCGGAUAGGACCACCUUUUGGAUGGUGGGGUGGGAAGUUUUUCGGUGUGGGGUGAGAUUGCGGCCUUUCAUCUUGUUGGUGGGGUAAUGGCCUAACAAGGCGUCGACGGGUAGCCGGCCUGGGAGGGUGGACGGCCACAAUGGGGAUGAGAUACGGGCCAGACUCCCACGGGGGGGAAGAGUGGGGGAUAUUGCAAAAUGGGGGGGAGCCUGAUGCAAGGAAGCCGCGUGGGGGAAGACGGGCUUCGGGUUGGAAACCCGUUUCCCUAGGUGACAAGCAGUAUGUGACGGUACCUGGUGAAGAAGCACCGGCUAACUACGUG